UGAGAUGAACCCUAAAAAGUCCUAAAAACACAAAGGCUUGGUCCUGGCCUUAAAAUCAAUUUUUACUUAACUUACACAUGCAAGCCUCCACACCCCCGUGAAAACGCCCUUAAACCCCUUCAGGGGUAAGGAGCUGGAAUCAGGCACAAUAAUUUGCCCAAGACACCUAGCUAUGCCACACCCACAAGGGUCAACAGCAGUGAUUAAUAUUAAAUAUAAACGUCAGUUUGACUUAGUCAAAGUAAAAAGAGCCGGCAAAACUGGUGCCAGCCGCCGCGGUUACACCACGAGACUCAAAUUGAUUUUCAUCGGCGUAAAGCGUGAUUAAAGCCUUUAAUAUUCUAGGGCUAAAACUGAACUAAGCUGUGAUAUGCUUGUUUCUAAAAACUCACACACGAAAGUUGCCCUAACUCGACCCACUUGAACUCACGAUACCUGGGGCCCAAACUGGGAUUAGAUACCCCACUAUGCCCAGGCUUAAACUUUAAAUUACACCUCUCUUCGCCAGGGAACUACGAGCAACGCUUAAAACCCAAAGGACUUGACGGUACCCCAUACCCACCUAGAGGAGCCUGUCCUAUAAUUGAUGACCCCCGCUAUACCUUACCACUUUUUGCCUUUCAGCUUGUAUACUUCCGUCUUCAGCUUACCCCGUGAGCGCAACUCAGUGAGCUUAAUGCCAACUUCGACAAUACGNCAGGUCAAAGUGCAGNUAAUAAAGNGGAAAGAGAUGGGCUACACUCUCUAACCUAGAGAAAACGAAA
This 764-nucleotide ribosomal RNA is filed under the name Microkayla wettsteini (Wettstein's Andes frog). RNAcentral's name for it is "partial 12S ribosomal RNA". It matches the Rfam family "Bacterial small subunit ribosomal RNA", at positions 320 to 1253 of the family's 1533-position model. Lineage: Eukaryota; Metazoa; Chordata; Amphibia; Anura; Craugastoridae. The record is from RNAcentral.